AUACGGAGGAUGCGAGCGUUAUCCGGAUUUAUUGGGUUUAAAGGGAGCGUAGGCGGACGCUUAAGUCAGUUGUGAAAGUUUGCGGCUCAACCGUAAAAUUGCAGUUGAUACUGGUAGUCUUGAGUGCAGCAGAGGUAGGCGGAAUUCGUGGUGUAGCGGUGAAAUGCUUAGAUAUCACGAAGAACUCCGAUUGCGAAGGCAGCUUACUGGACUGUAACUGACGCUGAUGCUCGAAAGUGUGGGUAUCAAACAGGAUUAGAUACCCUGGUAGUCCACACAGUAAACGAUGAAUACUCGCUGUUUGCGAUAUACAGCAAGCGGCCAAGCGAAAGCAUUAAGUAUUCCACCUGGGGAGUACGCCGGCAACGGUGAAACUCAAAGGAAUUGACGGGG
This 393-nucleotide ribosomal RNA is filed under the name uncultured bacterium. RNAcentral's name for it is "partial 16S ribosomal RNA". It matches the Rfam family "Bacterial small subunit ribosomal RNA", at positions 523 to 918 of the family's 1533-position model. The record is from RNAcentral.